Molecule: long non-coding RNA, 202 nt
Filed under: Lathyrus oleraceus (garden pea)
Lineage: Eukaryota; Viridiplantae; Streptophyta; Magnoliopsida; Fabales; Fabaceae
Description: Pisum sativum (pea) long non-coding RNA (PSAT_LNC037759)
Source: RNAcentral
AAAUAAAAAAUAGUUUACAAACAUGUCAAAUUAUUUAUAUAAACUUUUCUAGUCUUGCAACUAUUUCACAUAAAUGAAUUUAAACAUGCACUAAGAAAACAACUUCCAAGCCAUCUAUUCACUAAUUGAAACUGUGUAAAUUUCUAUGGGAGGAUAAUGGUGGAUUAUGAGGAUCUUUUAAUCCUAUAAUAAUAAAAAAAAU